UACGUAGGGUGCAAGCGUUGUCCGGAAUUAUUGGGCGUAAAGAGCUUGUAGGCGGUUUGUCGCGUCUGCUGUGAAAUUUCGGGGCUCAACCCCGAACUUGCAGUGGGUACGGGCAGACUAGAGUGUGGUAGGGGAGACUGGAAUUCCUGGUGUAGCGGUGAAAUGCGCAGAUAUCAGGAAGAACACCCGUGGCGAAAGCGGCUCUCUGGAACGGUACUGACGCUGAGACGCGAAAAGCGUGGGGAGCGAACAGG
This 254-nucleotide ribosomal RNA is filed under the name uncultured bacterium. RNAcentral describes it as "partial 16S ribosomal RNA". It matches the Rfam family "Bacterial small subunit ribosomal RNA", at positions 524 to 776 of the family's 1533-position model. The record is from RNAcentral.